UAGGGAAUCUUCCACAAUGGGCGCAAGCCUGAUGGAGCAACACCGCGUGAGUGAAGAAGGGUUUCGGCUCGUAAAGCUCUGUUGUUAAAGAAGAACACGUAUGAGAGUAACUGUUCAUACGUUGACGGUAUUUAACCAAAAAGUCACGGCUAACUACGUGCCAGCAGCCGCGGUAAUACGUAGGUGGCAAGCGUUAUCCGGAUUUAUUGGGCGUAAAGAGAGUGCAGGCGGUUUUCUAAGUCUGAUGUGAAAGCCUUCGGCUUAACCGGAGAAGUGCAUCGGAAACUGGAUAACUUGAGUGCAGAAGAGGGUAGUGGAACUCCAUGUGUAGCGGUGGAAUGCGUAGAUAUAUGGAAGAACACCAGUGGCGAAGGCGGCUACCUGGUCUGCAACUGACGCUGAGACUCGAAAGCAUGGGUAGCGAACAGGAUUAGAUACCCUGGUAGUCCAUGCCGUAAACGAUGAGUGCUAGGUGUUGGAGGGUUUCCACCCUUCAGUGCCGGAGCUAACGCAUUAAGCACUCCGCCUGGGGAGUACGACCGCAAGGUUG
RNAcentral lists this ribosomal RNA (550 nucleotides) under uncultured bacterium. RNAcentral describes it as "bacterial SSU rRNA". It matches the Rfam family "Bacterial small subunit ribosomal RNA", at positions 355 to 896 of the family's 1533-position model. The record is from RNAcentral.